RNAcentral lists this ribosomal RNA (433 nucleotides) under uncultured bacterium. Its description in RNAcentral is "partial 16S ribosomal RNA". It matches the Rfam family "Bacterial small subunit ribosomal RNA", at positions 29 to 507 of the family's 1533-position model. The record is from RNAcentral.
AACGAACGCUGGCGGCAUGCCUAACACAUGCAAGUCGAACGAGACCUUCGGGUCUAGUGGCGCACGGGUGCGUAACGCGUGGGAACCUGCCCUUAGGUUCGGAAUAACUCCCCGAAAGGGGUGCUAAUACCGGAUAAUGUCUUCCGACCAAAGAUUUCUCGCCUUUGGAUGGGCCCGCGUUGGAUUAGCUAGUUGGUAGGGUAAAAGCCUACCAAGGCGACGAUCCAUGGCUGGUCGGAUAGGAUGAUCAGCCACGCUGGGACUGCGACACGGCCCAGACUCGGACGGGAGGGAGCAGUAGGGAAUAUUAGACGAGGGGCGAAAGCCUGACCAAGCAAUGCCGCGUGAGUGAUGCAGGCCUUAGGGUUGUAAAGCCCUUUUACCCGGGAUGAUAAUGACAGUACCGGGAGAAUAAGCUCCGGCUAACUCCGUG